UAGCGUAGUGGUUAAGCAUUUGGCUGCUAACCAAAAGGUCGGCAGUUCAAAUCCACC
Transfer RNA from Loxodonta africana (African savanna elephant), 57 nucleotides. It matches the Rfam family "tRNA", at positions 8 to 63 of the family's 71-position model. Rfam says of the family: Transfer RNA (tRNA) molecules are approximately 80 nucleotides in length. Their secondary structure includes four short double-helical elements and three loops (D, anti-codon, and T loops). NCBI's taxonomy places the organism in Eukaryota, Metazoa, Chordata, Mammalia, Proboscidea, Elephantidae. The record is from Rfam.